CAACAAUGCAUGUUGUUUUUGUUGCUGGCUGCUGAUAGUACAGUAUGAUGUUCGUCCCAAAAUGUAGUAUGUGAACCUAAUCUCUGUUAGCAGCAGAGCACAUACUUCCAAAGAUUUUUUAUGUCCGAACAAAAGAUACUUCGGGUAUGAUCAUUGGUAGAUUAUAUAAUUACUUCGGGUAUGAUCAUUGGUAGACUAUAUAAUUGUUCUCUUCAUGGUGUGUGAUCAUCAUCUGUUCUUCAUUGGUACACAUUGCAGUUGUCCUUUUUUCUAGUGUUGUCCUUUUUGUUAGAUGAUGUUCCAAUGCCAGAUAUUUUGAUGAUGCCAGAUAUAAGCUAGCUUCGCCGCCUCACAGCUGCAGCAAGACCCUGAAUUGGGCAGCAUCGUGACGGACAAGAAGUCACUAUGAUGACUGCUCGAGGGUCACCAAGGUUGAGCCUCCUCAAAAAAGCUGUCAAAAGGGAUAGAGCAUCACCUCCUACAAGCAGUGUGACAAAGAGGAGGAGAGGGUCUCCCAAAGAAGAUAGAGCACAGUGGAAUGCAAGCCUUGAGAAAGAUCUUGUGGACUUGCUUCGUGAGCAUGAUACACCUGAACAUAAGGGUCAAAAUGGAUGGAGCUCAGAAGCAUGGAAUACGAUAGUGAAGAAAUUCCACCAAAAGAAUCCUUAUGCUAGGUACGAGAAGAAGAAAAUCCAAGAAAAGGAAAAAGAGUUGAAAAAAGAAUACAAGAUGAUCAAAGAGAUAAGGAAGCAAAGCGGUGUUUCAUGGGACGACCGGCAGUGCAGGAUUCUAGCGGAUCCACCACUUUGGAAAAACAUCAUCAUAUCACACCCUAAAGCUGGAAAGUUCAAGACAAAAGCCUUCCCUCUUUUUGAAGCUUUGGAAGAAUUGCAUGAUGGCCAAACUGCAGAAGGGACAUAUAACUUCACCUCUAUCGAGUCAUCACAUUGCUCAACCCAAUCACAUCUCGAGAAUCUUGGAGGAGCUAGCAAGAAUCAAGGAGAAACAUCAGCUGAUGGUGAGAAUCUUGGAGGAGAAAGGGUGCAGAUUGAUGAAGAUGUUGAGCAGGUUUACAUGCAAGAAAACAUUGCUGUGGAGCCCCAACAAACUCAACCAAAUUUGGCUACUGCACCCUCAAGAAAUGGAGAAGAGAAAGAACCAAAGAGAAGGAGGGGGCGAAUGGUGAUGUGGCUGCAAUGAUGGAGAAGUACUUGGAAAUAAGGACGAAGCAGGUGGAGGAUGAGAGGAAUAAGCCAAGGGUCGUGGAUGAGUACUCUAUCAAAAACUGCAUUGAUCUGCUGAAAACAAUGGAGAUCACACUUGAAGAAGAAGUCAAGGCUUUCCGAGUCUUCAAGAUCCCCGAGAACUGAGAGAUUUUCAUGAGUGCCAGACCAGAGACUGCUCUUAUGUGGUUGAGAGCUGAAAUGGAAUAACUCAGGAGUUCUACAUAAGAAUGCUCCCGAAGAAGAGCGAAGGUGCCACGACUUGGAUCUAUUUGUGUGUGCUUUUCAGUGGAAGGCUUCAUAUCUAUUCGCUGGGUUUUGUCCAUGUAAUAUUUGUAGAGAAACUAAACACUAUUUCUGAAACGACUGACUGUAGCAUGGAAGAUUUUGGGAGGAACUGAUAAUUAAGCUCUUGUGGUCUAUUCAACAUAUUAUAUAUUAUGUAUGCUCCAAAUUGCUAUUAUUUUUGUUAGUAUUUGUGCCCUGUUCAAAUCUUAGAAUUGUUGUUAUUGUUGGGAUAAUAAGUGUUUUAAACUGUCAGUGUUAUUGUCACUUCAGUCUGCAUCUGUGUAAUUACUACAUGAGAAUUGUUGUUAUCUAUAUGUACCACUUCAUCUAUGUCAAUACUGUUGUCCCUGUGGUCCAGUGCCCUUGGGGACUAACCGAAUGCAUGAGAGUGGCGUGGAUUGCAUACUGGCAAGGAUUUGGUCCCCAAGUGGUUUUGGUGUCAAGCGGGGAUCACCCAAUCCUCUAGAGGAUUAAAUCCACUAGAGGAUUAAUUCUGCUACAACCGAACAAGGCCUAAAGCUGGAAAGUUCAAGACAAAAGCCUUCCCUCUUUUUGAAGCUUUGGGAGAAUUGCAUGAUG
This 2090-nucleotide ribosomal RNA is filed under the name Triticum aestivum (bread wheat). RNAcentral describes it as "partial small subunit ribosomal RNA". The record is from RNAcentral. Lineage: Eukaryota; Viridiplantae; Streptophyta; Magnoliopsida; Poales; Poaceae.